CGCGAACGGGUGAGUAACGCGUAGGUAACCUACCUUUUAGCGGGGGAUAACUAUUGGAAACGAUAGCUAAUACCGCAUAAUAUUCUAUAUUUCAUGAUAGAGGAUUGAAAGAUGCAACUGCAUCACUAAGAGAUGGACCUGCGUUGUAUUAGCUAGUUGGUGAGGUAACGGCUCACCAAGGCAACGAUACAUAGCCGACCUGAGAGGGUGAUCGGCCACACUGGGACUGAGACACGGCCCAGACUCCUACGGGAGGCAGCAGUAGGGAAUCUUCGGCAAUGGGGGGAACCCUGACCGAGCAACGCCGCGUGAGUGAAGAAGGUUUUCGGAUCGUAAAGCUCUGUUGUAAGAGAAGAACGAGUGUGAGAGUGGAAAGUUCACACUGUGACGGUAUCUUACCAGAAAGCCACGGCUAACUACGUGCCAGCAGCCGCGGUAAUACGUAGGUGGCAAGCGUUGUCCGGAAUUAUUGGGCGUAAAGCGCGCGCAGGUGGUUUAAUAAGUCUGAUGUGAAAGCCCACGGCUCAACCGUGGAAGGUCAUUGGAAACUGUUAAACUUGAGUGCAGGAGAGAAAAGUGGAAUUCCUAGUGUAGCGGUGAAAUGCGUAGAGAUUAGGAGGAACACCAGUGGCGAAGGCGGCUUUUUGGCCUGUAACUGACACUGAGGCGCGAAAGCGUGGGGAGCAAACAGGAUUAGAUACCCUGGUAGUCCACGCCGUAAACGAUGAGUGCUAAGUGUUGGAUU
Molecule: ribosomal RNA, 745 nt
Filed under: uncultured bacterium
Lineage: Bacteria
Description: SSU rRNA
Rfam family: Bacterial small subunit ribosomal RNA
Source: RNAcentral